This 71-nucleotide transfer RNA is filed under the name Kiritimatiellia bacterium. RNAcentral describes it as "tRNA-Glu". It matches the Rfam family "tRNA". Rfam says of the family: Transfer RNA (tRNA) molecules are approximately 80 nucleotides in length. Their secondary structure includes four short double-helical elements and three loops (D, anti-codon, and T loops). Lineage: Bacteria; Pseudomonadati; Kiritimatiellota; Kiritimatiellia. The record is from RNAcentral.
GCCCCCUUCGUCUAUCGGACAGGACAUCAGGUUCUCAUCCUGGAAAGAUGGGUUCGACUCCCGUAGGGGGC